GAUGAACGCUGGCGGCGUGCCUAAUACAUGCAAGUCGAGCGAACGGACGAGAAGCUUGCUUCUCUGAUGUUAGCGGCGGACGGGUGAGUAACACGUGGAUAACCUACCUAUAAGACUGGGAUAACUUCGGGAAACCGGAGCUAAUACCGGAUAAUAUUUUGCACCGCAUGGUUCAAAAGUGAAAGACGGUCUUGCUGUCACUUAUAGAUGGAUCCGCGCUGCAUUAGCUAGUUGGUAAGGUAACGGCUUACCAAGGCAACGAUGCAUAGCCGACCUGAGGGGGUGAUCGGCCACACUAGAACUGAGACACGGUCCAGACUACUACGGGAGGCAGCAGUAGGGAAUCUGCCGCAAUGGGCGAAAGCCUGACGGAGCAACGCCGCGUGAGUGAUGAAGGUCUUCGGAGCGUAAAACUCUGUUAUUAGGGAAGAACAUAUGUGUAAGUAACUGUGCACAUCUUGACGGUACCUAAUCAGAAAGCCACGGCUAACUACGUG
Molecule: ribosomal RNA, 497 nt
Filed under: uncultured bacterium
Lineage: Bacteria
Description: partial 16S ribosomal RNA
Rfam family: Bacterial small subunit ribosomal RNA
Source: RNAcentral